RNAcentral lists this unclassified non-coding RNA (21 nucleotides) under Mus musculus (house mouse). RNAcentral's name for it is "oocyte_clustered_small_RNA10401". Lineage: Eukaryota; Metazoa; Chordata; Mammalia; Rodentia; Muridae. The record is from RNAcentral.
UCACACACUACAUCUCCUUCA